This 367-nucleotide long non-coding RNA is filed under the name Bos taurus (domestic cattle). RNAcentral describes it as "long non-coding RNA NONBTAT018424". The record is from RNAcentral. Lineage: Eukaryota; Metazoa; Chordata; Mammalia; Artiodactyla; Bovidae.
CCUAAAAUAUGAGAGAGAAUUGGUAUAUAUUUUGCUAAAUAGGAUAGUAGCCAUGCCUAGUCUUUUUUGUCUCAUUUUGGACUCCACCGCUGAUAAGAAAAUGUUUUAUUUGGGGAAAGUAAGUAAAACUUAAUCAUUGACUUGGUCUAAAGAGCUAUUUCCAUGUUUCCUCUUGUGGCCAUUCUUAUCACAUCGCCUCCCAGAAUCUCCUAUUUCCUCUAGAUCAUGAUCUCUUCCUUUAAUCCAAGACGUUACCAGUUUUGCCACUUGGUCUUUGGUCAUCUUUGGGUGAUAGUUGGUCACACAGUUGGCACAUUUUCUUUUAGUUCAUUUGUCUUGGGAAGUUAAAAAUAUAAGUCUAUAUGUU